CAAGAUGGGCGACUUGCUCUGAGCCAGGCCCUCCCCCUCCCUGGCUUCUCACAUUCUCCUCCCCCUCGCCCCUUCUGUUUCCCUCCUCUCCGCGCCGCGGUCCUCUCGCCUUCGCUUUGCUUCUCUCCCUCCACCCAGCCCCCACACCUUCCUUUUGUUUCCAGUUUCUCUUCACCCUCCCCACUUUUCUUUUCCCCUACCCUCCGUUUCCCCCUCUUCCUUUCCUCGUUUCCCCCACUUGCUUCGGGUCGUCCCAGGCCACCCCGCCUUUCAACCGUCCUAGCGCUCCAAAGGCGUCGGGAGCCCCCGCCUCCUCGCCUCUCCUCUCGGUUCCCUGGUCGGUCGGAAGAGAGGAGCCGCAUAUGCACAAAACAUGACAUGGAAAAUGGGCACUUCAACCUCUGGGAACAAAGACUCCUUCCUGCUUUGGCUUUACUGCAAGGGCAUUUUAUGGGAAUGGUUGAAUAUAGCUGUUUUUUUGUUUGUUUGUUUGUUUGUUUGUUUUUUGUUUUUCCCCAAAAGGAAAACAAAAUGUAUGUUGCAGGAGAUGGGAACAUUUCUAAGACCUGCAGCAGCUAG
Molecule: long non-coding RNA, 579 nt
Filed under: Mus musculus (house mouse)
Lineage: Eukaryota; Metazoa; Chordata; Mammalia; Rodentia; Muridae
Description: predicted gene, 30177
Source: RNAcentral